UGUGUGUAUACAUGUGUGUGUGUAUACUUAUUCAGUGUAUAUAUUCGUACAUACACACACACACACACACACACACACACACACACACACACAUAU
Molecule: microRNA precursor, 96 nt
Filed under: Notamacropus eugenii (tammar wallaby)
Lineage: Eukaryota; Metazoa; Chordata; Mammalia; Diprotodontia; Macropodidae
Description: miRNA (ENSMEUG00000017792.1)
Source: RNAcentral